AUUGAACGCUGGCGGCAGGCCUAACACAUGCAAGUCGAACGGUAACAGGAAACAGCUUGCUGUUUCGCUGACGAGUGGCGGACGGGUGAGUAAUGUCUGGGAAACUGCCUGAUGGAGGGGGAUAACUACUGGAAACGGUAGCUAAUACCGCAUAACGUCGCAAGACCAAAGAGGGGAACCCUCGGGCCUCUUGCCAUCGGAUGUGCCCAGAUGGGAUUAGCUUGUUGGUGGGGUAACGGCUCACCAAGGCGACGAUCCCUAGCUGGUCUGAGAGGAUGACCAGCCACACUGGAACUGAGACACGGUCCAGACUCCUACGGGAGGCAGCAGUGGGGAAUAUUGCACAAUGGGCGCAAGCCUGAUGCAGCCAUGCCGCGUGUAUGAAGAAGGCCUUCGGGUUGUAAAGUACUUUCAGCGGGGAGGAAGGGAGUAAAGUUAAUACCUUUGCUCAUUGACGUUACCCGCAGAAGAAGCACCGGCUAACUCCGUG
This 490-nucleotide ribosomal RNA is filed under the name uncultured bacterium. RNAcentral describes it as "partial 16S ribosomal RNA". It matches the Rfam family "Bacterial small subunit ribosomal RNA", at positions 30 to 507 of the family's 1533-position model. The record is from RNAcentral.